GCAAGUCGAGCGCACUCUUCGGAGUGAGCGGCGGACGGGUUAGUAACGCGUGGGAACGUGCCCUUCUCUAAGGAAUAGCCACUGGAAACGGUGAGUAAUACCGUAUACGCCCUUCGGGGGAAAGAUUUAUCGGUGAGGGAUUGGCCCGCGUAAGAUUAGAUAGUUGGUGGGGUAAUGGCCUACCAAGCCUACGAUCUAUAGCUGGUUUGAGAGGAUGAUC
Molecule: ribosomal RNA, 220 nt
Filed under: uncultured bacterium
Lineage: Bacteria
Description: partial 16S ribosomal RNA
Rfam family: Bacterial small subunit ribosomal RNA
Source: RNAcentral